RNAcentral lists this ribosomal RNA (454 nucleotides) under uncultured bacterium. RNAcentral's name for it is "bacterial SSU rRNA". It matches the Rfam family "Bacterial small subunit ribosomal RNA", at positions 340 to 786 of the family's 1533-position model. The record is from RNAcentral.
UACGGGAGGCAGCAGUGGGGAAUAUUGCACAAUGGGCGCAAGCCUGAUGCAGCCAUGCCGCGUGUAUGAAGAAGGCCUUCGGGUUGUAAAGUACUUUCAGUCGUGAGGAAGGUGUUAAGGUUAAUAACCUUAGCAAUUGACGUUAGCGACAGAAGAACGCACCGGCUAACUCCGUGCCAGCAGCCGCGGUAAUACGGAGGGUGCGAGCGUUAAUCGGAAUUACUGGGCGUAAAGGGCACGCAGGCGGUUAAUUAAGUUGGAUGUGAAAUCCCCGGGCUUAACCUGGGAAUGGCAUUCAAGACUGGUUAGCUAGAGUCUUGUAGAGGGGGUAGAAUUCCAUGUGUAGCGGUGAAAUGCGUAGAGAUGUGGAGGAAUACCGGUGGCGAAGGCGGCCCCUGGACAAAGACUGACGCUCAUGUGCGAAAGCGUGGGGAGCAAACGAGGAUUAGAUACC